UACAUAGGGGGCAAGCGUUGUUCGGAAUUACUGGGCGUAAAGGGCGCGUAGGCGGCCUGCUAAGUCGAACGUGAAAUCCCUGGGCUCAACCCAGGAACUGCGUCCGAUACUGGUUGGCUUGAAUCCGGGAGAGGGAUGUGGAAUUCCAGGUGUAGCGGUGAAAUGCGUAGAUAUCUGGAGGAACACCGGUGGCGAAGGCGACAUCCUGGACCGGUAUUGACGCUGAGGCGCGAAAGCCAGGGGAGCAAACGGG
Molecule: ribosomal RNA, 253 nt
Filed under: uncultured bacterium
Lineage: Bacteria
Description: partial 16S ribosomal RNA
Rfam family: Bacterial small subunit ribosomal RNA
Source: RNAcentral